Long non-coding RNA from Alosa alosa (allis shad), 182 nucleotides. RefSeq lists it as uncharacterized. The transcript has 3 exons. Lineage: Eukaryota; Metazoa; Chordata; Actinopteri; Clupeiformes; Clupeidae. The record is from RefSeq and is a predicted model, not a curated record.
UAUACACCCGAUGAAGCAGGGAAAACCAGUGUGUGUCACAACUUCAUGGAAAAACUUUCAAAGCACUGUGAUGCCAUGAUAAUUACUCUGACAGGCCCAGACAGCUGGAGUGAAACAAACGACAGAAUUCUUCAGUUCAUGUUUAUGAAGGAUGCCUUCAAGUUACCUGUUGACCCAAAGAG